AACGCAAAUUGCACUCCUUGGUAUUCCGAGGAGUAUGCCUGUUUGAGUGUCAUGAAAACCCUCAACUCCAAGUUUGGUUAAUCCAAGUUUGGGUGUUGGACUUGGGCGUUUGUCAAUGAUGAAUUGACUCGCCUUAAAAAGCUGAGCUGGAUUAGUCUUUGUACUGGUUUCCCUAGGCGUAAUAAGUAUUUCGCUUAGGACACAAGUUCGCUUGUGGCCAGGACUCGGACAGCAAUCUGCUUUCUAUACCCCAUAUGUACUUGUGCAUAUAAUCUCUGACAUCUGGCCUCAAAUCAGGUAGGACUACCCGCUGAACUUAA
This 320-nucleotide unclassified non-coding RNA is filed under the name uncultured fungus. Its description in RNAcentral is "partial contains 5.8S ribosomal RNA, internal transcribed spacer 2, and large subunit ribosomal RNA". The stretch from base 1 to 52 matches the Rfam family "5.8S ribosomal RNA", at positions 103 to 154 of the family's 154-position model. The record is from RNAcentral. Lineage: Eukaryota; Fungi.